Molecule: long non-coding RNA, 515 nt
Filed under: Vulpes vulpes (red fox)
Lineage: Eukaryota; Metazoa; Chordata; Mammalia; Carnivora; Canidae
Description: lncRNA (ENSVVUG00000011363.1)
Source: RNAcentral
GCAAGAUCUGACUCUUGGCUGGCUUGCUCCAGAAUGCUCGUUCCUAACUGCCCUGCCCUGCCACCUCUUACAUGUGCUACUGCUUUAUCACUGUUUUUCCAGUUCCUCCAGGGAGCUUUGAUUUCCUCCUACUUGGGAUGAGAAUUCCUUUUCCCACCAGACUGGUACAGAUGUCUUGGUCUGGAUUCACAGAGGAGGCGGCACUGCUGAGUGAGAGGGUGAAGCGUAUAAAUUGACAGCGUAUAAAUCCAGGUAGGAUCUGGGAGCCACCGCAACCUAGACAGCCCUCCAAUGGGCAGAGAGAGUGGAGACUUCAUAUGCCAUGCUCCACAGCUCUCUGAAUGCCUUUUGAAGAUCAAAGAAAGAUUGGGUCAUUUAGUCUUGUCUUGGUAAUUGCUGUAUGUCUUCUAUUUUUAUUGUAUUUAGACUCAUUGACCUUGGAAAGCCGGUUUUGUGGACACAGAAACUUAGUGGGCUACAAUAAAAACUAGCUAUUUUAUGAUCUCUGAUGGUUU